Molecule: ribosomal RNA, 703 nt
Filed under: Lachnospiraceae bacterium
Lineage: Bacteria; Bacillati; Bacillota; Clostridia; Lachnospirales; Lachnospiraceae
Description: partial 23S ribosomal RNA
Rfam family: Bacterial large subunit ribosomal RNA
Source: RNAcentral
GGCCGUAACUAUAACGGUCCUAAGGUAGCGAAAUUCCUUGUCGGGUAAGUUCCGACCCGCACGAAAGGCGUAAUGAUUUGAGCACUGUCUCGACAAUGCAUCCGGUGAAAUUGAAGUACCAGUGAAGAUGCUGGUUACCCGCGCCAGGACGGAAAGACCCCAUGGAGCUUUACUCCAGCUUGAUACUGGGAUCCGGUGCUGUAUGUACAGGAUAGGUGGGAGGCGAAGAAGUGAGGACGCCAGUUUUCACAGAGCCGAUGUUGGGAUACCACCCUUACAGUACUGGGUUUCUAACCUGCCGCCGUAAACCGGCGGGGGGACAAUGUCUGGCGGGGAGUUUGACUGGGGCGGUCGCCUCCGAAAGGGUAUCGGAGGCGCUCAAAGGUUCCCUCAGAAUGGUUGGAAACCAUUCGAAGAGUGCAAAGGCAGAAGGGAGCUUGACUGUGACACCGACGGGUGGAGCAGGUACGAAAGUAGGACUUAGUGAUCCGGUGGUAUGAAAGUGGGAUUGCCAUCGCUCAACGGAUAAAAGCUACCCUGGGGAUAACAGGCUUAUCACUCCCAAGAGUUCACAUCGACGGAGUGGUUUGGCACCUCGAUGUCGGCUCAUCGCAUCCUGGGGCUGUAGCAGGUCCCAAGGGUUGGGCUGUUCGCCCAUUAAAGCGGUACGCGAGCUGGGUUCAGAACGUCGUGAGACAGUUCG